UUAGUUGCCAUCAUUUAGUUGGGCACUCUAGCGAGACUGCCGGUGACAAACCGGAGGAAGGUGGGGAUGACGUCAAAUCAUCAUGCCCCUUAUGACCUGGGCUACACACGUGCUACAAUGGGAAGUACAACGAGUUGCGAAGUCGCGAGGCUAAGCUAAUCUCUUAAAGCUUCUCUCAGUUCGGAUUGUAGGCUGCAACUCGCCUACAUGAAGCCGGAAUCGCUAGUAAUCGCGGAUCAGCACGCCGCGGUGAAUACGUUCCCGGGCCUUGUACACACCGCCCGUCACACCACGAGAGUUUGUAACACCCGAAGUCGGUGAGGUAACCUUUUUGGAGCCAGCCGCCUAAGGUGGGAUAGAUGAUUGGGGUGAAGUCGUAACAAGGUAGCCGUAUCGGAAGGUGCGGCUGGAUCACCUCCUUUCUAAGGAA
RNAcentral lists this ribosomal RNA (430 nucleotides) under Listeria monocytogenes. Its description in RNAcentral is "bacterial SSU rRNA". It matches the Rfam family "Bacterial small subunit ribosomal RNA", at positions 1111 to 1533 of the family's 1533-position model. The record is from RNAcentral. Lineage: Bacteria; Bacillati; Bacillota; Bacilli; Caryophanales; Listeriaceae.